GACCUGCGGAGGGAUCAUUACACAAAUAUGAAGGCGGGCUGGAACCUCUCGGGGUUACAGCCUUGCUGAAUUAUUCACCCUUGUCUUUUGCGUACUUCUUGUUUCCUUGGUGGGUUCGCCCACCACUAGGACAAACAUAAACCUUUUGUAAUUGCAAUCAGCGUCAGUAACAAAUUAAUAAUUACAACUUUCAACAACGGAUCUCUUGGUUCUGGCAUCGAUGAAGAACGCAGCGAAAUGCGAUAAGUAGUGUGAAUUGCAGAAUUCAGUGAAUCAUCGAAUCUUUGAACGCACAUUGCGCCCUUUGGUAUUCCAAAGGGCAUGCCUGUUCGAGCGUCAUUUGUACCCUCAAGCUUUGCUUGGUGUUGGGCGUCUUGUCUCUAGCUUUGCUGGAGACUCGCCUUAAAGUAAUUGGCAGCCGGCCUACUGGUUUCGGAGCGCAGCACAAGUCGCACUCUCUAUCAGCAAAGGUCUAGCAUCCACUAAGCCUUUUUUUCAACUUUUGACCUCGGAUCAGGUAGGGAUACCCGCUGAACUUAAGCAUA
This 545-nucleotide ribosomal RNA is filed under the name fungal sp. RNAcentral's name for it is "eukaryotic LSU rRNA". The stretch from base 186 to 339 matches the Rfam family "5.8S ribosomal RNA". Lineage: Eukaryota; Fungi. The record is from RNAcentral.